Molecule: ribosomal RNA, 444 nt
Filed under: uncultured bacterium
Lineage: Bacteria
Description: partial 16S ribosomal RNA
Rfam family: Bacterial small subunit ribosomal RNA
Source: RNAcentral
CCUACGGGUGGCAGCAGUGGGGAAUAUUGGGCAAUGGAGGCAACUCUUACCCAGCAAUGCCGCGUGAAUGAAGAAGGUCUUCGGAUUGUAAAGUUCUUUAAUUGGGGACGAAAAAAAUGACGGUACCCAAGGAAUAAGCCCCGGCUAACUACGUGCCAGCAGCCGCGGUAAUACGUAGGGGGCAAGCGUUGUUCGGAAUGACUGGGCGUAAAGGGUGUGUAGGCGGUGUAGCAAGUGAGAAGGGAAAUACCUAGGGCUUAACUCAGGUGCUGCUUCUAAAACUGCUAUACUUGAGUGCAGGAGAGGAAAGUGGAAUUCGUAGUGUAGCGGUGGAAUGCGUAGAUAUUAGGAAGAACAUCGGUGGCGAAGGCGACUUUCUGGACUGCAACUGACGCUGAGGCACGAAAGUGUGGGGAGCGAACAGGAUUAGAUACCCUUGUAGUC